CAAGCAGUCCGCUCUAUCGCUGCGGCUUCAUGUCGUGGAGGAAAGUCCGGGCAACACAGGGUACUGCACUGUCGAAAGACAGAUAUCCGUGAGGGUAUAGCACCGGGGAAGAAAAUAACCACUCCCCAUGGACAAGGAGUCCGCUCCGGACCACCGGGGAGAACGGGUGAGAAGGUGAGGUAAAAGCUCACCAGUACGGCGGGUGACCGUCGUAGCUGCCCGGCUUGCAGGGUGAAAGGUCAUGUAUACCGGCAUUUAAGGGCGACCCGCCUGCGCCGGGGGGUAGACCGCUUAGAUAAAUGAUAGGGCGCCCGAUACCAUCGGGUGACAGAACCUGGCUUACAGGACUGCUUAAGGA
RNAcentral lists this RNase P RNA (358 nucleotides) under Bacteroidales bacterium. RNAcentral's name for it is "RNase P RNA component class A". It matches the Rfam family "Bacterial RNase P class A". From Rfam's summary of the family: Ribonuclease P (RNase P) is a ubiquitous endoribonuclease, found in archaea, bacteria and eukarya as well as chloroplasts and mitochondria. Lineage: Bacteria; Pseudomonadati; Bacteroidota; Bacteroidia; Bacteroidales. The record is from RNAcentral.